This 500-nucleotide ribosomal RNA is filed under the name uncultured bacterium. RNAcentral's name for it is "partial 16S ribosomal RNA". It matches the Rfam family "Bacterial small subunit ribosomal RNA", at positions 29 to 523 of the family's 1533-position model. The record is from RNAcentral.
AUUGAACGCUGGCGGCAUGCUUUACACAUGCAAGUCGAACGGUAACAGGGUGCUUGCAGCGAUGACGAGUGGUGAACGGGUGAGUAAUGCGUCGGAACGUGCCGAGUAGUGGGGGAUAACGCAGCGAAAGUUGUGCUAAUACCGCAUACGUACCGAGGGAGAAAGUGGGGGAACUUUGGGCCUAACGAUAUUAGAGCGGGCGACGUCGGAUUAGCUAGUAGGUGAGGGAAAGGCUCACCAAGGCGACGAUCAGUAGCGGGUCUGAGAGGAUGAUCCGCCACACUGGGACUGAGACACUGCCCAGACUCCUACGGGAGGCAGCAGUGGGGAAUUUUGGACAAUGGGCGAAAGCCUGAUCCAGCCAUGCCGCGUGUCUGAAGAAGGCCUUCGGGUUGUAAAGGACUUUUGUCAGGGAGGAAAACCCUAGUGCUAAUAACACUGGUGGAUGACAGUACCUGAAGAAUAAGCACCGGCUAACUACGUGCCAGCAGCCGCAGUAA